Dromaius novaehollandiae (emu) is the source of this 642-nucleotide long non-coding RNA. RefSeq lists it as uncharacterized. The record is from RefSeq and is a predicted model, not a curated record. Lineage: Eukaryota; Metazoa; Chordata; Aves; Casuariiformes; Dromaiidae. The transcript has 2 exons.
AGGGAGGGAAGCUUAAGCAGAUGGACAAUGUUAAUUUAUCAAACUUGAUUUCCUUUCCACUUACAUUCUCCCUAAGGAUGUUCUGUGCAGUUACAGAAGUUUACAUGACAAGAAAGAUUCCAGCCGGUAUGACUGUUCAGAGAAUCCCUCAAGCUACAUGGAAAAGGAACCCGCUCUUACAUGGUACAUAACAGAUGAAAACCCCCAGCUCAGGAAACAACAUAACUUCACCAUUUUGAGAAGAACUGGACACCGCCACCACCAGAAAAAGACUGCCACUUCCAUUAUUACUUUCCCUGCUAAAGAAAUGGGGUAACUUGCCAGGCUUUUUAACUGUAGUCAUUGUGAUCUGAUGAAAUGGUUGACAGGCAGGAAAAAUUUUUGCUCUCUCUCAAGAGCAGCUUUUGUUUUGAAUCUGGGAUAACACUGGAAAGGUUUCUUCAAACAGACAACACAUCUAUACUUGAAGAGUUUUAUUUCCAUCAGAUUUUCUUUUUCUGUCAAGCCAUAACCUGAAUUUGUAUGCAAAAAGCCUCUCAUAAUGACAUAUUAAGACCUCAUCUUUAGUAUCAGUACGACACUGCAUGUCAAGCCAUUAAAAUUUUCAGUCCCAAUUCUAAAUAAAACAUUUAUUAAAAUUUC